CGCAGCAGUCUGGAGCGGUGCUGAUGCUCAGGGUACCCUUGCCAGGUGGCCGGCAGACAAUGGUGCUCUUCUGCGGGAAGCUCCUGCUGGAGCCCGUGUCCUCUGCAGCCCGAGGCUGCGGCAGCUGGGGCGGCUUUCAGCAGUUUUGGAGGUCGGAGGACUCCCCCAGCAAACUGAUUAUGAUACAGCCUAGCUCAUGCUCUAUUUCUUUGCACAUGUAGAUGUACCAUUAAUGAAAUGGAGCUGCUCCCCAGCAGCCAUGGAGGAGCAUGUUCUCAGCUCUACAAAGCCCAUCUAUGUUCUCCCAUCUCUCUGGCACAGUGAGGGGGUUGUCAGCUGUACAGCAACUGUUUGUUUUCAAGCACAAUCUCAUUGGAAACCAAUAAAAAUCAUUCUGAUUCA
Molecule: non-coding RNA, 402 nt
Organism: Cyanistes caeruleus (blue tit)
Lineage: Eukaryota; Metazoa; Chordata; Aves; Passeriformes; Paridae
Source: RefSeq, a predicted model, not a curated record